UACAGAGGGGGCGAGCGUUAUUCGGAAUUAUUGGGCGUAAAGGGCGCGUAGGCGGCCUUUCAAGUGACGGGUGAAAUCCCUCGGCUUAACCGAGGAACUGCCUGUCAGACUGGAAGGCUUGAGACCGGGAGAGGUGAGUGGAAUUCCCAGUGUAGCGGUGAAAUGCGUAGAUAUUGGGAGGAACACCAGUGGCGAAGGCGGCUCACUGGACCGGAACUGACGCUGAGGCGCGAAAGCGUGGGGAGCAAACAGG
This 253-nucleotide ribosomal RNA is filed under the name uncultured bacterium. RNAcentral describes it as "partial 16S ribosomal RNA". It matches the Rfam family "Bacterial small subunit ribosomal RNA", at positions 524 to 776 of the family's 1533-position model. The record is from RNAcentral.